CUACUGGAAGGUGACUGAAGAUGAAGGACCUAUUACCGUGCUAGUACUGUGUAUACUGUCAAAAAGAAGAAAAAAAUAUUUCGGAAAGAAAGAAUGCCCAGUGUCGAGAUGUAACGAUUCAAGCUUUAUUUCUUUUUGACCUAUAGAAUGCAACACCACUAGUUCCACGUGCUUUAUGCAUGGGUAAUGUUAUGACACAACUCAUUAUUUAACCGUUCAUUACAUGCACCAACCCGCCCAAAUUAUCACUGUACUCGAGCUUAUGGACGCAUCGCAGUGCACUGCUUUGCACUUCAUUGUAGCACAGGGGUUUGCUAUCGCCAGUAGCGAAUGCUUUGGUUGACCUCCCUGCCUUUCUUCCUUUUGAAUUCUCUCUCCCUUUGUAUAAAACGCACUAACUUGUGGGAGAGAAAGCAUUCUCCUCUUUUAGAAUUCAAUUAAUUGUCAAGCAAUUAUAUUGCAGUUCCAGUAACUAGAGCACAAAUGCGAAAACGAAACCGAUUCUCUUCGGUUCUCCGCGCUCAGAGUGCGGCACCAGGGGGCAGGGCGCGCUGCGCGUCCGUUGGAGUGGCAGACGGAGAUGCACAUGUCUAGUCAGCCGGCAUUUUUCGAGUCGUGUUGUAAAUGUUGUUAAUUCGCCGUAAAUAUCUCUUGAUUUGUACUCAAGGGUGGAGCAAGACCCCAAGGAAGAGAGAUUGACUCAUCGGGAGCGAAGAACAGAAACGAUGGAUGGUUACGCUGCUUGGGUCUCGGCACGUUCAAAUUGGCAAAGUUCCGAAUUUGUUGCUGUGUUGUGUCCGCUUGUGCGCUCGUUAUUUGCCGUCAUCGCUCGGAGAUAUUUGCGCUGGAUGUCUUUCACUUCGUGUACAAAACUCUGCUCGCUGCGGCAUCGAAGAAGUUGUCCUGUGUUUGGGUGCACGUAUGCGCUUGGACACGGAUAGCCUGCUUGCUCUCAACGGGUGUUCAACAGUCUACGCGCGCUGGUAACUUGCUCAUGAGGCAAGUUGCUGUUGUGCUGGAGCUGAGAAGAGGUCUGCUGCCUGCAAUGGGUCCAUCUCUCUCAAGUUAUUGCAGUAUUAUAGCUCUCAAGGUUCAAAAAAAGUAUGGUGGAAGCUGUUGCCAAGGUUCCGACCAGAAAAGACAGCCAGUAUAAAAGGGUCCACGCCACUGAUCUCUACUACAGGGGAUGAACAGCACAUCGAGCGCCCUCGACUGAAGCCGGCCUUGUCCCGGAAGUUGGUGCUUGACAACUUUGCGGCAGCACUUUGUUGCACGGCCUGUGGAGACAAGGUUUCUUAGACAUGGCCGUGGCCCUCAAGGAAGAUGCCGAGGCCACAGGCAGUUCCUCCAGUGACCGUGAAAAGGUCCCCUGGGGCACAAGUCUGGUUUGGCACCCCCACCUUUCUCCUGCAGCUUUUCUGUCUACUUAGCUAACCAGCAGCAAGUUUAUCCUUGCAAGUGUUUGGAGUCAAGAACAACUUUCACCAGGAAGAAGUGCAAGACGAGUGAUUGAAGAAAAUAAAGUUGCUUCUGUGAUCUAAGAACUUGAGGACUGAAAUGUU
Dermacentor albipictus is the source of this 1562-nucleotide long non-coding RNA. RefSeq lists it as uncharacterized. Lineage: Eukaryota; Metazoa; Arthropoda; Arachnida; Ixodida; Ixodidae. The record is from RefSeq and is a predicted model, not a curated record.